GUGUAUUCUCAGGGCAGGGUGCAAUUCCCUACCGGUGGUCACAGCCCACGAGCGGCCUGCGGUGCAGGUGACAGCAGACCCGGCGCAAUUCCGGGGCCGACGGUUAAAGUCCGGAUGGAAGAGAAUGGGU
RNAcentral lists this non-coding RNA (130 nucleotides) under Tritonibacter multivorans. RNAcentral's name for it is "Tropicibacter multivorans FMN sequence". It matches the Rfam family "FMN riboswitch aptamer (RFN element)". Rfam says of the family: The RFN element is a highly conserved domain that is found frequently in the 5'-untranslated regions of prokaryotic mRNAs that encode for flavin mononucleotide (FMN) biosynthesis and transport proteins. This element is a metabolite-dependent riboswitch that directly binds FMN in the absence of proteins. Lineage: Bacteria; Pseudomonadati; Pseudomonadota; Alphaproteobacteria; Rhodobacterales; Paracoccaceae. The record is from Rfam by way of RNAcentral.